This 73-nucleotide transfer RNA is filed under the name Blanus cinereus (Mediterranean worm lizard). RNAcentral describes it as "tRNA-Asn". The record is from RNAcentral. Lineage: Eukaryota; Metazoa; Chordata; Lepidosauria; Squamata; Blanidae.
CGGAUUGAAGCCCGCUGGUUUCGGUACUUAGCUGUUAACUAAGUGUUUGUAGGAUCGAAGCCUGCCAGUCCAG